AGGAUCUUUGUAUGCUUCUCCAAACAAAAGGUGAAUGUUAGUGCACACAAAACAAUAAGGUAUUAAAAUAAUAGAUUUCCAUAUCUUCAUUGAAAAUCCCAAUUACCUGUAUUUGUCGAUUUCAGUUCAUUGUGUAAAGGAAAGUAAGUUUUUGAAGCUUAGGGGAGACACUUCAAUAAAUGAUCUAUGAACAAGAAAGAAACCCAAUAUUUUGUCUAUAGAGUAUUAUUUAGUGAUUGAUUCCCUGUGGCUUUUUU
RNAcentral lists this unclassified non-coding RNA (257 nucleotides) under Hevea brasiliensis (rubber tree). Lineage: Eukaryota; Viridiplantae; Streptophyta; Magnoliopsida; Malpighiales; Euphorbiaceae. The record is from RNAcentral.